Long non-coding RNA from Vidua chalybeata, 295 nucleotides. RefSeq lists it as uncharacterized. The transcript has 2 exons. The record is from RefSeq and is a predicted model, not a curated record. NCBI's taxonomy places the organism in Eukaryota, Metazoa, Chordata, Aves, Passeriformes, Viduidae.
AGAACGGGACGUCCCGUCCCGACCGCUCCCCCAUCCCCCUGGGUUUUUCUUUCGGGGGGACUCGUGUUUCCUGUCGAGCCGAGGCGGGCCAGCCGCGGGAGAUGGGAAAGUAGAAUGCCCUCAUCUGGAAAUUUACAGAAGCCAACAGAGGACAAAUUAGUAACCUGGGAAGACAGAAAGACUGCCUGCAGCAACAUGACUUAAAUGUUUUGGCAUUCCCUUGUUUUCAUUUAGUAUUUAUUUGGGUGCAGUUGUUACUACUUGCUGGAACACGAAAUGCUUUGUCAGCUCCUUA